UACAUUGCAGAUCUCUCUCUCUCUCUCUCUCUCUCUCUCUCUCGCACCAGAAAACCCUUCCUCCGACACCAACUCGCUCGGCUCCGGCAACACAUGUCCGACGCGAAAACACUGUCAUUGAUUCCAGAGUAGUUCGGACUCAGAUCUACAAAUCCAAAAGGUGAGGCCACGACAGCCAAGGGAACCGGUGAGACUCUGCGACGCCGAGCUAGGGAUCCGAUGAGAUCAAAUCGAUCUGGAUCGGCAAGUUGCUUAAGUGGAUAGACAAGAACUACAUCCUCAACUGCUUCGGUACCACUGGAAAGCUGCUCUUGAGUUUAUAGUCGGUGCCUUAGUGUCCAAAGGCAACAUAUCUAGUGCUGCGAAUUUUUGCCAUUUUCAUUUGUAGUAGUAGAUUUCGAAAAUCAUGUGAAUUUGGAUAUUAAGCCACUAUUGACCAAGAGAUCAUUCAGCUAACCAAGAAAUGUUGAAAUGAAGUCUUGUGCUGAAGGUGGCAAAAUUAUGCCUAUGGGUUUAGAGUGUCAGUAUUGAAAAAGGACAUUAGCAUUACAACAUUGGCAGUAGUUUUAUUUAACUAUUGUAAUAAAUCUUCAUGAUUAUGGUAGUGACUUUUUACAAUUAUGAAAGUAGCUUUUUACAUAAUUAUAUCAUUAUUGAACCCUGCAUACUUUUUGUAUCAUCUAAUAUGUUUUAUUUUCUCGAUUGCAGUAGCA
Rosa chinensis is the source of this 713-nucleotide long non-coding RNA. RefSeq lists it as uncharacterized. NCBI's taxonomy places the organism in Eukaryota, Viridiplantae, Streptophyta, Magnoliopsida, Rosales, Rosaceae. The record is from RefSeq and is a predicted model, not a curated record. The transcript is spliced from 3 exons.